GGUGGCUCAGUGGUAGAGCGCUCGCCUGGCAUGCUUGAAGCCCUGGGUUCGAUUCCUCAGCACCA
This 65-nucleotide transfer RNA is filed under the name Dipodomys ordii (Ord's kangaroo rat). It matches the Rfam family "tRNA". Rfam says of the family: Transfer RNA (tRNA) molecules are approximately 80 nucleotides in length. Their secondary structure includes four short double-helical elements and three loops (D, anti-codon, and T loops). Further hydrogen bonds mediate the characteristic L-shaped molecular structure. tRNAs have two regions of fundamental functional importance: the anti-codon, which is responsible for specific mRNA codon recognition, and the 3' end, to which the tRNAs corresponding amino acid is attached (by aminoacyl-tRNA synthetases). tRNAs cope with the degeneracy of the genetic code in two manners: having more than one tRNA (with a specific anti-codon) for a particular amino acid; and 'wobble' base-pairing, i.e. permitting non-standard base-pairing at the 3rd anti-codon position. Lineage: Eukaryota; Metazoa; Chordata; Mammalia; Rodentia; Heteromyidae. The record is from Rfam by way of RNAcentral.